Molecule: ribosomal RNA, 100 nt
Filed under: Nitrospirillum amazonense
Lineage: Bacteria; Pseudomonadati; Pseudomonadota; Alphaproteobacteria; Rhodospirillales; Azospirillaceae
Description: partial 23S ribosomal RNA
Rfam family: Bacterial large subunit ribosomal RNA
Source: RNAcentral
CUGAAGAGCCGUGCUAGACCAGCACGUCAAUAGGUGGCAUGUGGAAGCGCGGCAACGCGUGAAGCUAAGCCAUACUAAUCGCUCGUCCGGCUUGAUCACU